AAUGUUGUUUUUUUUAUGAAAACGCCGCAAAAGACUAAUAAUUUUUGAUUACCCGCCCAUUCCCUCUUCUUCCCAUUUCUAUCGCGUGCCCUAAACCUUUUACUAUGAAAAUUUGCAUAAAAUCUUUUUUGCGUGUGUAUGAACUAAUUUUUUUUGUCAAUAAAUGAAAUUCUUUGAAGAUAAUACAAUCUUUUAUAAAAAUUUAUUUCCGAAUUAGGGCUCUUGAUUUCUUUCUCUGUCAGCAAAUUGGUCGAAUUUUAUUUUUGUUUUUAUUUGAAGUUGAAGGAAAAGCAUAGCAUUUGGCGUACAAGUGAUAACUCACAAUUUUCUUAUGUAUUUAGUUCCCUACUUUUUUAAGCCAACCAUUUUGCUUCAGAAUCUCUUUGCGUUGGGAACCUUUUCAAAGUUCUUACGCUUUUUUGGCCUCUGAUAUUUGCCCAGAUCCAUUUUGCAGCACUUGAUUCUGUUUCAGAUUGAGCCAAACUACUUUCUGCAUUAGUAGUCAUCAAAAGAACUCUGUUUUGAGCAAAUUGGAAGUAAUAUUGACAUGUCCUUUCUCGGUUCAGUGCUUUAGUUAUUGAAUUUCUUAAGCUUGAAUAAAAGGUUAGAGGGAACUGAGAUGGACAUUGGAGCUCUUUUAACUUCUGCCGGAAUCAAUAUAGCUAUAUAUGUUGUGCUGUUGUCUUUGUAUUCCAUACUGAGGAAACAGCCAAGCAAUGUUAGUGUGUACUUCAUGCGGAAGCUUAUUUCAGAACCAAUAAAGCAUAGUGAUCCUUUUCACUUUGAGAGACUUGUUCCCUCUGCUAGUUGGAUCGUGAGGGCCUGGCAAGCGACCAAUGAAGAAAUAUUGGCUUCUCUGCAUCAUCCUUUGUUACUGCUAUUACAGAUGCUCUGAAUCGUACUUAUGGAAAUUCUCAUAAUUGUUUGAGAAACCUUCCAAGUCAGUAUAUCAAUACCCUUCUGGUGCCCAAAGAUGGUGAAAUACCCAUAGACAUCCAAAGUUUAUCUUCACAAGGAAUCUUUGACGUGGUCAUUGUUAACUCCAUACAUGACCCAAAAGUGGGCACAAUUUUUGAUCCAGUCUCAUUGAUAAAUGCUCUUGGCAAUAGGACUUUGUAUUUAUGUAGGGAAAUACCAUUUUUAUUUAAAGCAUUUUUGCCAAUCUUUUGUACGUAAUUAAAGAGUGAGGUGUUUGAGGUUUAUCAUUCACUUUCAUGUCUUGAUAAAAUAUAGUUUGGGGUGGAAUUGAGCAAAGGCUUCAGAACUGUGAUUUCGAGUUGAGUUAUGCAUUGGCUUUCUCAAACGUUCUCGCCAGCAAAAGGAAAUUACAAGGGAACAAGCAGUUCAAGAUCUGAAGUUUGUUGAGAAGGAUUAUAAGUUAGCUGAUACGGUUAUUAGAGGGUUGUUGAAGUAUUGGCCUUUGACUAAUUGUCAGAAGGAAGUUCUCUUCCUCGGGGAACUUGAGGAAGUACUUGAAGCAACACAGUUUGUGGAGUUCCAACGAUGCAUGGUUCCGCUUUUCUGACAGAUUGCACGUUGCCUCAAUAGCUUACAUUUCCAGCGUAUAACUAUUCCUGAAAUUCUACAAGAUGAAUGGUUCAAGAAAGGGUACAAGCCACCAAAAUUUGAGCAAGAUGAGGAUGUAAAUCUUGAUGAUAAUAUCUUAUAUUUUACAUGGUUAUGAUUUAAGUCCUUAUUUCAUUGAUUUAUUUAUAUUUAAUCUAAUUUUAUUAUUUAUUUUAGUUUUGAUUCUAAAUUUUUAUUUUAAUAUUUUUAGUUAAAAUUUUAAUAGAAAAUUUUUAUAUUUAUAUCA
Gossypium arboreum is the source of this 1813-nucleotide long non-coding RNA. RefSeq lists it as uncharacterized. The transcript is spliced from 6 exons. NCBI's taxonomy places the organism in Eukaryota, Viridiplantae, Streptophyta, Magnoliopsida, Malvales, Malvaceae. The record is from RefSeq and is a predicted model, not a curated record.